CAAUAGCGUAUAUUUAAGUUGUUGCAGUUAAAAAGCUCGUAGUUGGAUUUCGGAUGGGAUUUGCCGGUCCGUCGUUACGAUGUGCACUGGCCAGUCCUAUCUUGUUGUCGGGGACUAGCUCCUUGGAUUCACUUCCUGGGACUAGGAGCUGACGAGGUUACUUUGAGUAAAUUAGAGUGUUCAAAGCAAGCCUACGCUCUGAAUACAUUAGCAUGGAAUAACACGAUAGGACUCUGGCUUAUCUUGUUGGUCUGUGAGACCAGAGUAAUGAUUAAGAGGGGCAGUCGGGGACAUUCGUAUUUCAUUGUCAGAGGUGAAAUUCUUGGAUUUAUGAAAGACGAACUUCUGCGAAAGCAUUUGACAAGGAUGUUUUCAUUAA
RNAcentral lists this ribosomal RNA (379 nucleotides) under uncultured eukaryote. Its description in RNAcentral is "partial 18S ribosomal RNA". It matches the Rfam family "Eukaryotic small subunit ribosomal RNA", at positions 592 to 976 of the family's 1831-position model. The record is from RNAcentral.